UACACACACGGACAAACCAAGAUCUCCAAAUGCAUGGCGCUUAGCUUCUGGUGAGACAGAGAGACAAUAAAUAUGAUAACUAAAUAUAGUACAGAGAAGGCUGGGAAAUGAUCGUUGCCAAGGAAAAGUAGAAAAACAAAACCGUGUGACAGGAAACUGAAACAGGUGGUUACAGAGAAGAGGGUUGGAUCCCCAGGGUGGUUUCAUUCAGAUCUGACCUCGUGAUGAUCUGGAAGGAACAGGGAAGAACGAUCGUCGAAGCUCUGAAUAUCAAUGUGUGCAACAGGUUGACAAAUAAGGACUUAAAAGAAGGAACUAGAGAGACUUAAGUCACUGAACGAAGGAAAUAACCAGGCGGUUUUACUGAAUUACUUAUUCUGUAUCCCUCAACGGAUGGGGACUAGGAAGAUGCUUAAGUCUUGGGACAUGACAUACAAAAAAACAAUAGGUAAUAUUUUACCAACACUUUUCAAUAUCUUAUUUCCCCCUUUGGCUUCCCUUCAUUUAUACGUGGGAUCCAUAUCCAUCACAUGUCAUUUUCCAGAGAUACUGUACGGUUUCAGAAUCUCACAUUUUUGGGGUUGAUUUUUAGAUACAGUAGGUAAGAAAAAGUCUAAGGGAAAUACAAGU
Non-coding RNA from Sus scrofa (pig), 630 nucleotides. NCBI's taxonomy places the organism in Eukaryota, Metazoa, Chordata, Mammalia, Artiodactyla, Suidae. The record is from RefSeq and is a predicted model, not a curated record.